Molecule: ribosomal RNA, 446 nt
Filed under: uncultured bacterium
Lineage: Bacteria
Description: partial 16S ribosomal RNA
Rfam family: Bacterial small subunit ribosomal RNA
Source: RNAcentral
CCUACGGGUGGCAGCAGUCGAGAAUCAUUCACAAUGGGCGCAACCCUGAUGGUGCGACGCCGCGUGGGGGAAUGCAGGUCUUUGGAUUGUACACCCCUGUCAUGUGGGAGCAAAUUAAAACGAUCGUACCACAAGAGGAAUAGACGGCUAACUCUCUGCCAGCAGCCGCGGUACUACAGAGGGCUCAAGCGUUGUUCGGCAUCACUUGGCGUAAAGCGUGCGUAGGCUGUUUCGUAAGUCGUGUGUGAAAGGCGCGAGCUUAACCCGCGGACGGCACAUGAUACUGCGAGACUAGAGUAAUGGAGGGGGAAGCGGAAUGCUCGGUGUAGCAGUGAAAUGCGUAGAUAUCGCGAGGAACACUCGUGGCGAAGGCGGGUUCCUGGACAUUAACUGACGCUGAGGCACGAAGGCCAGGGGAGCGAAAGGGAUUAGAUACCCCUGUAGUC